Long non-coding RNA from Siniperca chuatsi (mandarin fish), 2284 nucleotides. RefSeq lists it as uncharacterized. The transcript is spliced from 3 exons. Lineage: Eukaryota; Metazoa; Chordata; Actinopteri; Centrarchiformes; Sinipercidae. The record is from RefSeq and is a predicted model, not a curated record.
UGGCCUUUUGAGGAACUGCAGUUUUUGGCACUUUCGCAUUAGCUUCACUUUUCAGCCCCGCAGGUUGCCGCUUGGUUCACAGGCAGGCAGCAGUGCUACAGUGUGACUGACCAUGGCUGAACAGGCAAAGCUACCUAUUCCAGCGCUCCCUGGAACGUCUUAAAGUAUCAAAUAUGCAAAGCUAAUGAAGACUGCUGAAGAAAAGAAAGAACAAAAGAAAGCUGCCAGAAAAAAAGACAAGAGUCAUGCAAAAUCAACCAUUUACAAUGGUGUGGCCUUUCAUCACUGGAAAAACCUCAAAGUUUUAAAGGGGUUGAAAAAUGAUGCGCAGCUAUCCUUACUGCUUCUGGACAGUUAAGAAAAAAAUUGCUCCACAUCAACACCCUUCAAGCUCUGAGGAACGCGACCUGCUCCCACCAUCAUUGUUGAGCAGACACAGAGGAAUAGGACUGAAAUCAACCAAGACGUUCAGAAAAGAAAUACAGCCAAAACUCCUAAGGAAAUACCAGUACCUACAGUGGAGGAUACAGAACUUCAGGUCAUGACAGUGAAGAGGUGAAAUGUAAUUAUCCAUCAAUGGCGCAAGACAAAGUCACUUAUCCUACUAUCACCAUUGUUCAUGAAAUCCCCACUGACACCUCAGAACUGGACAUGAACUCAGAGGAAUCUCAACUAAAUCCUGGUGUUUAUGAAUUCCGUCCUAGAGCACUGGAAAAGAAAAAAUGACAUGGAUAAACUCCAUGAUUCAAGUGAAACCACAGAGAGUAGUGAUACUCAUUACCUUACCUGAGAGUCUAGAAAACACACUUGUGAAUAAGAGAGACCCACCUGUUAAUGAAGAUCCAGGUACACAGAGUGAAACAGUUCAAGGGGAACUCACUGAACAAACUGUUCACAUCAAAAUGGAAAACAUUGGAAGACAGGACGAGACAAUGAACAGAUCAGAGCAAGCAAAAGGGACUGUUGGAAAUAAGAUCCCUUCAUCUCCCACUCCUGUUGAGGAGAAAGCACAACCUGAGGUUAGAAGAUCAACUAGUAGCCGAACAGAACCUGACAGGUUACAUACAGACCCAUGACUUCAAUUAUGCACUCAAUACUGAAUAGCCUUGGCAAGGUUUUCACAAAUGUUCUUGAUUUGACCCCUUCCCCAUAUGUAAGCCAGGUGAUUGAUAUUUAGAUGGUUGUCAACAUGCAAGGAUGCAUGCAGAUUUAGGGGGGGCAGGAUGUAACCCAUAUUAAAUUUACAUUUAAUGAAGUUCUUUUUAUGGUCGGUAGAGGGUGCUCUAACGUUGUAGCCAUUGUACUACUGCAGAAGAAGAACUGGUUAGCGAUGCGCAGGUGGAGUGAGAGAUUGCCACUACUGAGAGAGAGAGAAAUAGAGAGACUUCCAGAGCAUCUCUGCUGAGAACAGUGUUUGGAUAUGACUAUUAAGAGUAAUUUUCUUGUAAUGUGAAAUUAUUUGAGUUCAUCUGCUGAAGAUUUGUUUUGUAUUUGUUUUUAUGUAUGUUGUGUUGAUGUGUUUUGGUAUUUGAGAAAAAUCUGGUGAAUCUCCGGUUGAUUUUUGUUGAGUCUGGAAUUAUUAUGGACUAUGGUGAGUGAACACGGGGCGCCAGUACUGUGAUCAUCCAAGAAGCAAGAGGAUUGUCCACCAUAUUCCUUCCUCUUCCCUGCCAUCACCUGCAGUAUAACUUUUUUUGGGAACAGAUAAUCUUCUUUAAGAUCUCACAAAGCACACACUACCCGGGUAGAAUACAGUGGACUAAAGAAUAGAUUCAUGUUACACCAAAGGAUUAUAUUGAACUGUGAUUGUGACUAUUGCAAGCUUCAGAUAACAGCCUACUGCUGAAGAGGACACUUUAUUUUAUUUAUUAUUUUUGGUAAUUUGUUGCAAUAAAUGUCUAUGUUCUAUCACAAAAUGCAUUGCUGUGACUCAUUUGCUCCUUGAGACAAAUGAGAAUCUUCUGAUUGGCCUAUCUUAAUUUAACUGCAAGUAUACUGCAAGGUAGAUUAUCUAUUGAUAAUUUUACUGUGUCAUAAAGAGAAGUGUUACAUAUUGGCACCAGCUCUUUUCUUUGUCUUUUCUGAUGAGGAUACACAAAGCCACUGUUAUCCUGGGACAAAUGUACCUGGAUAUUCUUAACCAAGAUCUCCAGAAUUAAGUUCAGGGGCCCUUAAUGGCUGAUUUCUUAAAAGCCUGGGAUAAUGACCAAGGAGAGACAAGAGAGUCUUUAAGUGCCCAGAAUAAUAAAGGUGUAAUAACAUCAGCAAUUAUAUGUCAGCCAAU